CGGCGGGGGAUGGGCAUGCGGCGCAUUAGCUAGUCGGCGGGGUAACGGCCCACCGAGGCGACGAUGCGUAGGGGUUCUGAGAGGAAGGUCCCCCACACUGGUACUGAGACACGGACCAGACUCCUACGGGAGGCAGCAGUGAGGAAUAUUGGUCAAUGGGCGGGAGCCUGAACCAGCCAAGUCGCGUGAGGGAAGACGGUCCUACGGAUUGUAAACCUCUUUUGCCGGGGAGCAACGGGGUCCUUGCGAGGGCCCGAUGAGAGUACCCGGAGAAAAAGCAUCGGCUAACUCCGUGCCAGCAGCCGCGGUAAUACGGAGGAUGCGAGCGUUAUCCGGAUUUAUUGGGUUUAAAGGGUGCGUAGGCGGGCUGUUAAGUCAGCGGUCAAAUGUCGGGGCUCAACCCCGGCCUGCCGUUGAAACUGGCGGCCUCGAGUGGGCGAGAAGUAUGCGGAAUGCGUGGUGUAGCGGUGAAAUGCAUAGAUAUCACGCAGAACUCCGAUUGCGAAGGCAGCAUACCGGCGCCCUACUGACGCUGAGGCACGAAAGCGUGGGUAUCGAACAGGAUUAGAUACCCUGGUAGUCCACGCAGUAAACGAUGAAUGCUAGCUGUCCGGUUCUACGGGACUGG
Molecule: ribosomal RNA, 628 nt
Filed under: uncultured bacterium
Lineage: Bacteria
Description: bacterial SSU rRNA
Rfam family: Bacterial small subunit ribosomal RNA
Source: RNAcentral